CGGAGAGAGCUUCAGGUCCAUCUCCGGGAUUGCCAUCUGAUCUGAUGGGGGUGAUAUUUGUGCAGGAUCGUCGGACCCCAUGCCCUUCAUUAGUUUUGUCAUCGUCGUGGUCUCCUAAUACCAGUCACUGCCCAAGCUCCAUCCCCAGUCCCAUUCUGUAGCUUCUGGCUCAUAUGAUGGGGGAGAUGACACUUCACCGGUAUCACUGGUUCCCUUGUCCUCCUCCCUGGCUAUAGGCAGAGAGAGCUUCAGGUCCAUCUCCGGGAUUGCCAUCUGAUCUGAUGGGGGUGAUAUUUGUGCAGGAUUGUUGGAUCCCAUGCCCUCCAUUAGCUUUGUCGAUUUUGUAGCUUUUGGCUCAUAUGAAGCUUCAGUCUUCUCUUUCUUUUGUGAGAGUGAAACAUCAGGGAUCCUAACCACAACCUCCACUCUACAUUUAAAACAAUAUAUCAAGGUUGGAUCAUCGUAAUGUGCAGCCCACCAGUGUUGAUUCUCAUAGUAGUGCAAUUUAACAUGGCCUUCUGGCUUGCUGCUAUCUGCACCACCACUGAACUACCUACUGCACUCCAAACAGACCCAGAUAUCGCUAUUCUUCACCUUUGCCUGAUCCUUGGUAGCAGCACCUCUUGUGUCCCCACCUUUCUCCUCCUCCUCCUCCUCCUCCUCCUCCUCCUCCUCCUCCUCCUCCUC
RNAcentral lists this long non-coding RNA (687 nucleotides) under Setaria viridis. RNAcentral's name for it is "long non-coding RNA (SVIR_LNC002309)". Lineage: Eukaryota; Viridiplantae; Streptophyta; Magnoliopsida; Poales; Poaceae. The record is from RNAcentral.